This 1675-nucleotide long non-coding RNA is filed under the name Hordeum vulgare. Its description in RNAcentral is "long non-coding RNA (HVUL_LNC017816)". Lineage: Eukaryota; Viridiplantae; Streptophyta; Magnoliopsida; Poales; Poaceae. The record is from RNAcentral.
UCUUAGCAGGCAAGCACUGCACACUGCAGAUGAGCUUCUUCGUGCUUGCAUUCUGCAGCAACUUAUUUUCAUUCAACAUUUUAGAUAAACUGGUUCAACAUUUUACAUGAAUUUUUUUUGAAUCAUUUUUUGAUUGUAGUAGUUGGUCCAAUUGGACUUGUACUCUUAAUUAGUACUAUUAUUAAACUACCAAGGGUUUUAUGUUGUAGCUAAUCAACUUGUACUUCCCAACUUGUGUAAUGCACGGUGCGGCUGUAUUCUCUAGUUUAGCUUGUAGGUUGUGCUUUGGGAGUUUGGUAGGCCCAUCGCUAGUUUAAUGUGCUGCUGUUGUAGCCUGAAUUUGCUCUGUUUGGCAUUUUGGUUAGUCUUAGUUGUCAAGUUUGAACACUCAUGUUUAGCUUGAUGACUUUUAAUAUUGUGAAUAUGAAAAUUCAGAGGUUGUACUGAAGUUCCAUGCAUUUUAUUCUGUGUCCUGAGCUUACCUUUGUAUCUCCGGAUUUUUUAUUCAUCUGUUACCCUUCCUUUCACUGUAGUUUAUCUUCGUACAGAAAUCAAUCAUGGCAUUCUUCCUAUUUGCAUUUUAUUAUGUUUUUAAAAUUCCCUAGCACAACUACAUAUAAGAAUGUGGGUAUGUGUUUUCUUAUUUCAGUGUCUAUAGGCAUCUAUGCAUUUGCAUGAUGUUGAAUUAUGUGCUAUGGAAUAUACAUUAGAUGAUUUAUACUGUUCUUCUUCUCGACUAAUCAAAUGUGCUUUGUUUUUUCAGUAUGGAUACCUAGGUCAAGCUUGCGGUGGUGAAGGUGAUGAUAUGGGUUUCCUAUCUUCAGAAGUAAAAUGUUUGCUUGCUACCUUCUUUAGGGUACUGUUUUCUAAUCAAAUUGUUGAACACAUGAGUUAUUUAUACAAAUCAUGUGCUAUUUAUGGUUACUCCACCUUCUUGAUUACUUAGCUGAAUUAUGUUUUGUGUACUAAACAACAUGUGUAGUAUUUGGCUUCCAUGUACAAACAUGAUAAGUAUGUAUACUUCUUUGAGGUUCAAAUUCUACAGAUGUUGCAUAAUAUUGGUGUCAAAGUGCCUCUCCUUAGGGAUUGAUUUAAACCGCGUAUGAGCUACUAAAACAAUUGUUUUGCUGUUCAAACAUGAAAUUCUAGUUCUUUGUUUCAAACAUCGAAAUGUUGUUUACCUUGUCCUUCUAUGCUUAAAUGGUAAAAAUUUCGCAUUUAUAGGAUUGUACACCUGAUGUGAUCGGAGUAGGAUUUACUUGCUGCUCACAAUUACUACUUGUAUUCACUGAUUUCUAUGCCUCAUUUUGCUUGUUUUACUCUCAUUUACACAGACAAACUGCCUACAAGUUAGUGUGCUGUUAGAUUUUCUUUUAUUUUGUUCUUAACCAUUUUGUCUGAUAACUUGCAAAUGUUUACCUUCAUUCGCGUUUCAUCGCAAGGUCUAGGACAAAGAAGUCAGGAGAAGCACAAAGUUCUUGAUCAUUGGAGCUAGUUAUUGUUUUGGUUUUUUAGUUGUGUUACCUGAUGUGAACUAGUUUUGAUUGUAAACCUGAUGCGAACCAUGUUUGAUUGAAAUGUGCCAAGUUUAGAUAUGUUUGAUUGUAUUCAUGAUGUGACAGAGGUUCAAGUUAUAAUGGUUGUUUGACAUAUUUUGUAAUUUCUGAUGUGUGGG